CGCAUCUUGAUGGUUGAAAACUCUUUGUUUCUCUCAAGAUCCUCUUAGAGAAGAAGAAAAGAAUAGAAGGAUGAAGAUCUCUACGCUAGAGAUCAUGAGAAGAAUACUUUCUUCUCUUUCUUUUCAAAACCCAUGCACAAAAUCUCUAUGCUAGAGAUCUAAAAAAAUAUGUCCAACUCUGAGACAAAGUAGAGAGAAAAUUUCAUGUCCAAAUUUGGGUAAAAGAGGGAGAG
RNAcentral lists this long non-coding RNA (233 nucleotides) under Elaeis guineensis (African oil palm). RNAcentral's name for it is "long non-coding RNA (EGUI_LNC036595)". Lineage: Eukaryota; Viridiplantae; Streptophyta; Magnoliopsida; Arecales; Arecaceae. The record is from RNAcentral.